CUCCAAUAGCGUAUAUUAAAGUUGCUGCAGUUAAAAAGCUCGUAGUUGAAUUUCGGGGUCAAUAUGUUGGUCGUGCCUUGGUACGUACUAGCUUAUUGAUUUCUCCUUUCUGACGAACCAUGAUGUCAUUAAUUUGGUGUCAUGGGGAAUCAGGACUGUUACUUUGAAAAAAUUAGAGUGUUUAAAGCAGGCUCGCGCUUGAAUACAUUAGCAUGGAAUAAUGAAAUAGGACGUUUGAUCCUAUUUUGUUGGUUUCUAGGAUUGACGUAAUGAUUAAUAGGGAUAGUUGGGGGCAUUAGUAUUCAAUUGUCAGAGGUGAAAUUCUUGGAUUUAUUGAAGACUAACUACUGCGGAAGCAUUUGCCAAGGAUGUUUUCAUUAAUCAAGAACGAAAGUUAGGGGAUCGAAGACGAUCAGAUACCGUCGUAGUCUUAACCAUAAACUAUGCCGACUAGGGAUCGGAUGAUGUUAAUUUUUUAAUGACUCAUUCGGC
RNAcentral lists this ribosomal RNA (492 nucleotides) under uncultured Glomus. RNAcentral describes it as "SSU rRNA". It matches the Rfam family "Eukaryotic small subunit ribosomal RNA", at positions 589 to 1084 of the family's 1831-position model. The record is from RNAcentral. Lineage: Eukaryota; Fungi; Glomeromycota; Glomeromycetes; Glomerales; Glomeraceae.